GGGAGCGUGAGGAGCCAAGGAAUCUGCCUCCAGGAUGCUGCAGCUGGCCUCGGCUCGGGACGGCCUGCUCACUGCCCUCCUGCCUCCACCCUCCCCAGUGGACCCCCGAGUGGCCCCGCUGUGUUUCCCCACCAUACUCCAUCAGUCCCAGCCUUGACUGAAGCCCAGCUCCCUGGGGCGGCAUUCUCGGGGGGAGGAGCCCGCAGGCACCAUCGCUCCCCUUUGAGUUUUCUGCUGAUGUACAGCCGACACCAUCCCCGCUUCUGC
Odocoileus virginianus texanus is the source of this 267-nucleotide non-coding RNA. Lineage: Eukaryota; Metazoa; Chordata; Mammalia; Artiodactyla; Cervidae. The record is from RefSeq and is a predicted model, not a curated record.